GGCUGUGCCUAUGGCGAAGGGGAAACACCCGUUCCCGUUCCGAACACGGAAGUAAAGUCCUUCAGCGGCGAUGGUACUGCAGCAUUAGCUGUGGGAGAGUAGCUCGGUGCAGCCU
RNAcentral lists this ribosomal RNA (115 nucleotides) under Oligoflexales bacterium. Lineage: Bacteria; Pseudomonadati; Bdellovibrionota; Oligoflexia; Oligoflexales. The record is from RNAcentral.